GUUGGCUUAGAAGCAGCCACUCAUUUAAAGAGUGCGUAAUAGCUCACUAGUCGAGAGAUCCUGCGCCGAAAAUGUACCGGGGCUAAACUUACCACCGAAGCUACGGAUUUGCAAGUAAUUGCAAGUGGUAGGGGAGCGUCGUAAUCGGGCUGAAGUCGUACCGGAAGGAGCGGUGGACUGAUUACGAGUGAGAAUGUUGGCAUUAGUAGCGAGAUGUAGGUGAGAAUCCUACAGGCCGAAUAUCUAAGGUUUCCUCAGGAAGGCUCGUCCGCUGAGGGUUAGUCGGGACCUAAGCCGAGGCCGAAAGGCGUAGGCGAUGGACAAUCGGUUGAUAUUCCGAUACCACUACCAUCGUUAUUAUCGAGGGUGUGACGGAGAAGGAUAGUGUGUGCUAGCGAUUGGAAAUGCUAGUCUAAGCGUUUAGGGAGUUACGGUAGGCAAAUCCGCUGUAACAAUUCUGAGGCGUGAUGGGGAAGGUCAUUAAGACCGAAGUACAUGAUUCCAUGCUUCCAAGAAAAGCAUCUAGAGAGAGAAGUAGUGCCCGUACCGCAAACCGACACAGGUAGAUGAGGAGAGAAUCCUAAGGCCGGCGGAAGAAUUGCAGUUAAGGAACUAGGCAAAUUGACCCCGUAAGUUCGCGAGAAGGGGUGCCUGCGAGAGCAGGCCGCAGAGAAUAGGCCCAAGCAACUGUUUAGCAAAAACACAGGUCUCUGCUAAAGCGUAAGCUGAUGUAUAGGGGCUGACGCCUGCCCGGUGCUGGAAGGUUAAGGGGAACACUUAGCGCAAGCGAAGGUGUGAACUUAAGCCCCAGUAAACGGCGGCCGUAACUAUAACGGUCCUAAGGUAGCGAAAUUCCUUGUCAGGUAAGUUCUGACCCGCACGAAUGGCGUAAUGAUUUGGGCACUGUCUCAACAGCCCGCCCGGCGAAAUUGUAGUACUGGUGAAGAUGCCAGUUACCCGCAACUAGACGGAAAGACCCCAUGGAGCUUUACUGCAGCUUAAUACUGAAAUUCGGUAGUACAUGUACAGGAUAGGUGGGAGACUGAGAAAUACAGGCGUCAGCUUGUAUGGAGUCGCUGUUGGGAUACCACUCUUGUACUGCUGGGUUUCUAACCUGCGGCCGUGAAUCCGGUCGGGGGACACUGUUAGGCGGGCAGUUUGACUGGGGCGGUCGCCUCCCAAAAGGUAACGGAGGCGCUCAAAGGUUCGUUCAGCACGGACGGAAAUCGUGCAAUGAGUGUAAACGCAUAAACGAGCCUAACUGCGACACCGACGGGUGGAGCAGUAACGAAAGUUGGAGUUAGUGAUCCGGUGGUAUGUGAGUGGAAAUGCCA
This 1334-nucleotide ribosomal RNA is filed under the name human gut metagenome. RNAcentral's name for it is "bacterial LSU rRNA". It matches the Rfam family "Bacterial large subunit ribosomal RNA", at positions 1100 to 2444 of the family's 2925-position model. The record is from RNAcentral.